This 250-nucleotide ribosomal RNA is filed under the name uncultured bacterium. Its description in RNAcentral is "partial 16S ribosomal RNA". It matches the Rfam family "Bacterial small subunit ribosomal RNA", at positions 83 to 334 of the family's 1533-position model. The record is from RNAcentral.
CCUUGAUGGCGACCGGCGCACGGGUGAGUAACGCGUAUGCAACCUGCCCGAUACCGGGGUAUAGCCCAUGGAAACGUGGAUUAACACCCCAUAGUACUUUUAUCCUGCCUGGGAUGGGAGUUAAAUGUUCAAGGUAUCGGAUGGGCAUGCGUCCUAUUAGUUAGUUGGCGGGGUAACAGCCCACCAGGACGAUGAUAGGUAGGGGUUCUGAGAGGAAGGUCCCCCACAUUGGAACUGAGACACGGUCCAA